GACGAACGCUGGCGGCGUGCCUAACACAUGCAAGUCAACUUGACUGAAGGAGCAAUCUGACAGUAGAGUGGCGCAAGGGUGCGUAACGCGUAAGUAACUUGCCCAAGGUAAGGAAUAACGUCGAGAAAUCGGCGCUAAUACCUCAUAAUGCAGCGGAUCCGCAUGGAUAUGUUGUUAAAGGUUUACCGCCUUGGGAUAGGCUUGCGUCUGAUUAGCUAGUUGGUGUGGUAACGGCACACCAAGGCUACGAUCAGUAACUGGUCUGAGAGGAUGAUCAGUCACACUGGAACUGAGACACGGUCCAGACUCCUACGGGAGGCAGCAGUGAGGAAUAUUGGGCAAUGCUCGAAAGAGUGACCCAGCAACGCCGCGUGGAGGAUGAAGGUAUUCUAUAUCGUAAACUCCUGUGAGAGCAGACGAAAGACAGAUUAUUAAUCUGGAUGACUGUAUGCUCAGAGGAAGCCCGG
Molecule: ribosomal RNA, 467 nt
Filed under: uncultured bacterium
Lineage: Bacteria
Description: bacterial SSU rRNA
Rfam family: Bacterial small subunit ribosomal RNA
Source: RNAcentral